UACGUAGGGUGCGAGCGUUAAUCGGAAUUACUGGGCGUAAAGCGCGCGCAGGUGGUCUUUCAAGUCAGUGGUGAAAGCCCGGAGCUCAACUCCGGAAAUGCCAUUGAAACUGUAAGACUUGAGGAUGAGAGAGGUGAGUGGAAUUCCCAGUGUAGAGGUGAAAUUCGUAGAUAUUGGGAAGAACACCGGUGGCGAAGGCGGCUCACUGGCUCAUAUCUGACGCUCAGGCGCGACAGCGUGGGGAUCAAACAGG
RNAcentral lists this ribosomal RNA (253 nucleotides) under uncultured bacterium. RNAcentral's name for it is "partial 16S ribosomal RNA". It matches the Rfam family "Bacterial small subunit ribosomal RNA", at positions 524 to 776 of the family's 1533-position model. The record is from RNAcentral.